UACGGAGGGUGCAAGCGUUAUCCGGAUUUACUGGGUUUAAAGGGUGCGUAGGUGGGCAGGCAAGUCAGUGGUGAAAUCUCCGGGCUUAACCCGGAAACUGCCAUUGAUACUAUCUGUCUUGAAUACCGUGGAGGUGAGCGGAAUAUGUCAUGUAGCGGUGAAAUGCUUAGAUAUGACAUAGAACACCAAUUGCGAAGGCAGCUCACUACACGAAUAUUGACACUGAGGCACGAAAGCGUGGGGAUCAAACAGG
This 253-nucleotide ribosomal RNA is filed under the name uncultured bacterium. RNAcentral's name for it is "partial 16S ribosomal RNA". It matches the Rfam family "Bacterial small subunit ribosomal RNA", at positions 524 to 776 of the family's 1533-position model. The record is from RNAcentral.